GGUUUUGAUCUGUUUAUUAGAUACUUUCAGCUAUAUUUGAUGUAUAUAAGGAUUGUAAGAGGUACAUGUUUGUCUUGCAGGUUUCAUUUGAUUUUACCUUUUUCCUGGUUCAUUGGUUAUUGUUAUUUUUUCUGUUUUAGUCUUUUUCUCAGAUACUUUAAAGAAUAGGACCACCCUAUUUAUUGGAUGGAAUGAUUGUACCAUGUACAUAAAAUUGGGAAUGUAAAUGGGGAAUAUGCUUCAACGCAGUGAGAAAAUCCAGCACCAGAGGUGAACAUGUAUGUCUGGCAGGGUUCAUUUAACCUCAUUUUCAUAGUUCAUUAGUUAAAGUCAAAUUUUCAUGGUUGAGUCUGUUUCUCAGGCACUAUAAGCAUCAGGUCAACUUUAAUUUUCCUGGUAAUGAAUGCAUGGCAUUUAUGUUGGAUGGCAG
Molecule: long non-coding RNA, 430 nt
Filed under: Mytilus galloprovincialis (Mediterranean mussel)
Lineage: Eukaryota; Metazoa; Mollusca; Bivalvia; Mytilida; Mytilidae
Source: RNAcentral